GGUCCAAGUACCCCCUAGAGGUUUUCCAUUGGCCACUUCCUGCUCACCUCAUGUAAAUGAAGUGGUAGCUCUCAAUCGGUCUGAUUGGUUGUGGAAAGCAACCAAUCAAAGACUGAAGUGGAGGGUACAACGCUCACUCUCCUCUUUUUGCAACCAAUCAGAGGCUAAGGUAAAGUUAGAAAGUUGCAAACGAAGACCGGCCGGCAAACAGUCUGAUUGGUUUCAGGCAGCCAGUUUCCCAACUGCCCAGCAGAAAAGAUGGAGUCUUGCUCGGUCGCCCAGGCUGGAGUGCAGUGGCAUGAUCUCGGCUCAUUGCAACCUCCGCCUCCCGGAUUCAAGCAAUUCUCCUGCCUCAGCCUCCUGAGUAGCUGGGAUUACAGGCACCUGCCACCACGCCUGGCUAAUUUUUUUUUUGUAUUUUUAGUACAGAUAGGUUUUCACCAUAUUGGCCAGGCUGGUUUCGAACUCCUGACCUUGUGAUCCAUCCACCUCAGCCUCCCGAAGUGCCCCAGCUCACACAGGCAUGAGCCACCGCACCUGGCCCUGAGUUUUGUAUAUUGAGUUUGUAACCUGUAACCUUGCUGAACUUUAUUUAGCUCUAAUAAAUUUUCUGACGUGGAUUCCCU
Molecule: long non-coding RNA, 626 nt
Filed under: Homo sapiens (human)
Lineage: Eukaryota; Metazoa; Chordata; Mammalia; Primates; Hominidae
Description: HSALNT0363960
Source: RNAcentral